AGCCCAGAGCCUGAAUCAGUGUGUGUGUUAGUGGAAGCGUCUGGAAAGGCGCGCGAUACAGGGUGACAGCCCCGUACACAAAAAUGCACAUGCUGUGAGCUCGAUGAGUAGGGCGGGACACGUGGUAUCCUGUCUGAAUAUGGGGGGACCAUCCUCCAAGGCUAAAUACUCCUGACUGACCGAUAGUGAACCAGUACCGUGAGGGAAAGGCGAAAAGAACCCCGGCGAGGGGAGUGAAAAAGAACCUGAAACCGUGUACGUACAAGCAGUGGGAGCACGCUUAGGCGUGUGACUGCGUACCUUUUGUAUAAUGGGUCAGCGACUUAUAUUCUGUAGCAAGGUUAACCGAAUAGGGGAGCCGAAGGGAAACCGAGUCUUAACUGGGCGUUAAGUUGCAGGGUAUAGACCCGAAACCCGGUGAUCUAGCCAUGGGCAGGUUGAAGGUUGGGUAACACUAACUGGAGGACCGAACCGACUAAUGUUGAAAAAUUAGCGGAUGACUUGUGGCUGGGGGUGAAAGGCCAAUCAAACCGGGAGAUAGCUGGUUCUCCCCGAAAGCUAUUUAGGUAGCGCCUCGUGAAUUCAUCUCCGGGGGUAGAGCACUGUUUCGGCAAGGGGGUCAUCCCGACUUACCAACCCGAUGCAAACUGCGAAUACCGGAGAAUGUUAUCACGGGAGACACACGGCGGGUGCUAACGUCCGUCGUGAAGAGGGAAACAACCCAGACCGCCAGCUAAGGUCCCAAAGUCAUGGUUAAGUGGGAAACGAUGUGGGAAGGCCCAGACAGCCAGGAUGUUGGCUUAGAAGCAGCCAUCAUUUAAAGAAAGCGUAAUAGCUCACUGGUCGAGUCGGCCUGCGCGGAAGAUGUAACGGGGCUAAACCAUGCACCGAAGCUGCGGCAGCGACGCUUAUGCGUUGUUGGGUAGGGGAGCGUUCUGUAAGCCUGUGAAGGUGUGCUGUGAGGCAUGCUGGAGGUAUCAGAAGUGCGAAUGCUGACAUAAGUAACGAUAAAGCGGGUGAAAAGCCCGCUCGCCGGAAGACCAAGGGUUCCUGUCCAACGUUAAUCGGGGCAGGGUGAGUCGACCCCUAAGGCGAGGCCGAAAGGCGUAGUCGAUGGGAAACAGGUUAAUAUUCCUGUACUUGGUGUUACUGCGAAGGGGGGACGGAGAAGGCUAUGUUGGCCGGGCGACGGUUGUCCCGGUUUAAGCGUGUAGGCUGGUUUUCCAGGCAAAUCCGGAAAAUCAAGGCUGAGGCGUGAUGACGAGGCACUACGGUGCUGAAGCAACAAAUGCCCUGCUUCCAGGAAAAGCCUCUAAGCAUCAGGUAACAUCAAAUCGUACCCCAAACCGACACAGGUGGUCAGGUAGAGAAUACCAAGGCGCUUGAGAGAACUCGGGUGAAGGAACUAGGCAAAAUGGUGCCGUAACUUCGGGAGAAGGCACGCUGAUAUGUAGGUGAAGUCCCUCGCGGAUGGAGCUGAAAUCAGUCGAAGAUACCAGCUGGCUGCAACUGUUUAUUAAAAACACAGCACUGUGCAAACACGAAAGUGGACGUAUACGGUGUGACGCCUGCCCGGUGCCGGAAGGUUAAUUGAUGGGGUCAGCGCAAGCGAAGCUCUUGAUCGAAGCCCCGGUAAACGGCGGCCGUAACUAUAACGGUCCUAAGGUAGCGAAAUUCCUUGUCGGGUAAGUUCCGACCUGCACGAAUGGCGUAAUGAUGGCCAGGCUGUCUCCACCCGAGACUCAGUGAAAUUGAACUCGCUGUGAAGAUGCAGUGUACCCGCGGCAAGACGGAAAGACCCCGUGAACCUUUACUAUAGCUUGACACUGAACAUUGAGCCUUGAUGUGUAGGAUAGGUGGGAGGCUUUGAAGUGUGGACGCCAGUCUGCAUGGAGCCGACCUUGAAAUACCACCCUUUAAUGUUUGAUGUUCUAACGUUGACCCGUGAUCCGGGUUGCGGACAGUGUCUGGUGGGUAGUUUGACUGGGGCGGUCUCCUCCUAAAGAGUAACGGAGGAGCACGAAGGUUGGCUAAUCCUGGUCGGACAUCAGGAGGUUAGUGCAAUGGCAUAAGCCAGCUUGACUGCGAGCGUGACGGCGCGAGCAGGUGCGAAAGCAGGUCAUAGUGAUCCGGUGGUUCUGAAUGGAAGGGCCAUCGCUCAACGGAUAAAAGGUACUCCGGGGAUAACAGGCUGAUACCGCCCAAGAGUUCAUAUCGACGGCGGUGUUUGGCACCUCGAUGUCGGCUCAUCACAUCCUGGGGCUGAAGUAGGUCCCAAGGGUAUGGCUGUUCGCCAUUUAAAGUGGUACGCGAGCUGGGUUUAGAACGUCGUGAGACAGUUCGGUCCCUAUCUGCCGUGGGCGCUGGAGAACUGAGGGGGGCUGCUCCUAGUACGAGAGGACCGGAGUGGACGCAUCACUGGUGUUCGGGUUGUCAUGCCAAUGGCACUGCCCGGUAGCUAAAUGCGGAAGAGAUAAGUGCUGAAAGCAUCUAAGCACGAAACUUGCCCCGAGAUGAGUUCUCCCUGACCCUUUAAGGGUCCUGAAGGAACGUUGAAGACGACGACGUUGAUAGGCCGGGUGUGUAAGCGCAGCGAUGCGUUGAGCUAACCGGUACUAAUGAACCGUGAGGCUUAACCUU
This 2640-nucleotide ribosomal RNA is filed under the name Escherichia coli. Its description in RNAcentral is "partial 23S ribosomal RNA". It matches the Rfam family "Bacterial large subunit ribosomal RNA", at positions 296 to 2925 of the family's 2925-position model. The record is from RNAcentral. Lineage: Bacteria; Pseudomonadati; Pseudomonadota; Gammaproteobacteria; Enterobacterales; Enterobacteriaceae.